This 73-nucleotide transfer RNA is filed under the name Candidatus Nanoarchaeia archaeon. Its description in RNAcentral is "tRNA-Gln". It matches the Rfam family "tRNA". From Rfam's summary of the family: Transfer RNA (tRNA) molecules are approximately 80 nucleotides in length. Their secondary structure includes four short double-helical elements and three loops (D, anti-codon, and T loops). Lineage: Archaea; Nanobdellati; Nanobdellota; Candidatus Nanoarchaeia. The record is from RNAcentral.
AGUCCCAUAGUGUAGAGGCCAAGCACACGAGGUUCUGGACCUUGUAACGGCGGUUCGAAUCCGCCUGGGACUA